Molecule: ribosomal RNA, 296 nt
Filed under: uncultured bacterium
Lineage: Bacteria
Description: partial 16S ribosomal RNA
Rfam family: Bacterial small subunit ribosomal RNA
Source: RNAcentral
GGAUUAGAUACCCUGGUAGUCCACGCCGUAAACGAUGGAUACUAGCUGUUUAUUAUUCUUUCGGGGAUAAUAAGUGGCCAAGCGAAAGUGAUAAGUAUCCCACCUGGGGAGUACGUUCGCAAGAAUGAAACUCAAAGGAAUUGACGGGGGCCCGCACAAGCGGUGGAGCAUGUGGUUUAAUUCGAUGAUACGCGAGGAACCUUACCAAGGCUUAAAUGCAAUUCGCAUAGAGUGGAAACACUUUAGUCUAUUAGACGGAUUGCAAGGUGCUGCAUGGUUGUCGUCAGCUCGUGCUG